AUGGCUAGCUCCGCCCUCCUCCUCCUCGCCCUCGUGGCCCUGGCGGGCCUCGUCGAUCUGCAGGCCUCCGCGGCCGCCCCGACGCCCGCUCACGCCGCGGAGGUCUCCUUGGCGGCGGCGGCGGCGACGAUGGGCAUGGCGGAUCAGGAGCUGGACGGGACGGUGCAGUGCCUGAUCGGGUGCUUGACGACUGUUCUGGGCUGCGCCUUCAAGUGCCUGCGCGUGCGCAAGGGCAUUGACCUGCCGCUCUGCGUCAUCGGCUGCAACGAUAGGGGCAUCGUCUGCAUGUUCAGCUGCGGCAAGCCACCUUCCCCGCCGGGUCCCAAGCCGCCAGUGCCACCUUAUCCCACACCGACGCCGCCUGCUCCCACACCGACGCCGCCAGAGCCGCCUGCUCCCACACCCACGCCGCCAGCGCCUCCUGCUCCCAAACCCAAGCCGCCGCCUGCCCCAAAACCCAAGCCGCCGCCUGCUCCCAAACCCAAGCCGACGCCACCCUAUCCAGGACCUGCGCCCGCCCCCACGCCGCCGGCGCCCCCCACCCACCCAGCCCGCCGCCUUACGCGGAUGGACACCUCCAACUACGGCGACAAUUACCUUGCAUGA
Molecule: ribosomal RNA, 606 nt
Filed under: Triticum aestivum (bread wheat)
Lineage: Eukaryota; Viridiplantae; Streptophyta; Magnoliopsida; Poales; Poaceae
Description: partial small subunit ribosomal RNA
Source: RNAcentral